AGAGGAGCUGGACAAGUACUGGUCUCAGCAGAUUGAGGACAGCACCACAGUGGUCACCACACAGUCUGCCGAGGUUGAAGCUGCUGAGACGACACU
This 96-nucleotide microRNA precursor is filed under the name Aotus nancymaae (Ma's night monkey). RNAcentral describes it as "miRNA (ENSANAG00000000361.1)". The record is from RNAcentral. Lineage: Eukaryota; Metazoa; Chordata; Mammalia; Primates; Aotidae.